UUGUGUUUGACUCGAUCAACUAAAUGGUGUUUGAAGGUAGAUGGUAUAUAUUGUGGUAUCUAUUAGUGUUAGGUUAUGGUGACCCUGUAAAAUGUGUUUGGUGAUGAACUAGUCUCGCCUUUCUUGACAAAACUUCCGACUUAUGUAGCGUAACAAAGAGACCACUUGAAAGGCAGCUCCAAGAUGUUACUUAAUUCAUGUUUGAUCAUUUGAUCCACCUGACAAGU
RNAcentral lists this long non-coding RNA (227 nucleotides) under Brassica napus (rape). RNAcentral describes it as "long non-coding RNA (BNAP_LNC009146)". Lineage: Eukaryota; Viridiplantae; Streptophyta; Magnoliopsida; Brassicales; Brassicaceae. The record is from RNAcentral.